Molecule: long non-coding RNA, 3094 nt
Filed under: Sus scrofa (pig)
Lineage: Eukaryota; Metazoa; Chordata; Mammalia; Artiodactyla; Suidae
Description: lncRNA (ENSSSCG00000041116.2)
Source: RNAcentral
CUCCUCUGUAUCUGGUAGCCUGGGUGCUAAUCUCAGCUCUGAUUCAUGGUUGGCUGUGUCUUCUUUGGAUUCCUUUUUUUUUUUUAAAAAACCUCUGAAGAGACUGACCUCUACCUUUUCGCAUGCAAAACAAACUCAGAACUGUGUUUCUGGUAGAAGUGGGGAAAAAAAAAAAAAAAAAAAAAAAACUGGCAAGGUUUAACCUGGUAUAUUAGAAAAGACGUGAGUUUUGGAGUCUGGUUAUAUGACCUCAGGUGGGAGCCUUUUGGAGCCUAUUUUCUCAUCUAUAAAAUGGGGAUAAUUGUACUUACUUCUUUGGCUGGUAAUGAGCAUGAAGUGAGAAAAUGCAGGAGCUUGACUAUAUAGUAGGUGCUUAAUGAAUAUUAUUUCCUUCCUCCCGUGGAGAAAAGCAGACUGAAGAAGUAGGGGAGUGGAGGAAUGGAACAGCUGAUCCAUCAAAUCCCUCAGGUUUGGGGAGCCAGAGGGAGGAGAAGUUCUCCAAAGAGAGAACAGAAAAUAACAGGGAAGGGUCAAGGGAAGGCAGAUUUUGGCUCCAUUUUAGGAAAACUACAAUAUGGAGGGAGUUGACUUUAGAGGAAGUGAGCUCCCCAUCACUCAAGGGGACCAAAGAGAGUCCCCAUACAUCUAUGGCUAAUUGAUUUUUUAAAAUUGUAGUAUAGUUUACUUACAACAUUGUGUUACUUUCAGAUAUAUAGCAAAGUGAUUCAAUUAUGUGUGUGUAUAUUCUUUUCCAUUAUAGGUUAUGACAAGAUAUGAAAUAUAGUUCUUUGUGCUGUAUAGUAAAUCCUUGUUAUUUGUCUAUUUUUAUAUAUGGUAGUGUGUAUCUGUUAAUCCCAUUCUCCUAAUUUAUCCCUCCCCCCAUUCCCCUUUGUUAUAUAAAUUUGUUUUCUCUGUCUGUGGGUCUGUUUCUAUUUUGUAAAUAAGUUAUUUAUACCAUUUUUUAAGAUUCCACAGGUAUGUAAUAUUUGUCUUUAUCUGACUUACUUCACUUAGUAUGAUAAUCUCUAGGUCCCUUAUGUUGCUGCAAGUGGCAUUAUUUCAUUCUUUUUCAUGGAUGAGUAAUAUUCCAGUGUGUGUGUGUGUGUGUGUGUGUGUGUGUGUGUGUGUGUGUGUGUGUUUGUAUGUCACAUCUUCUUUAUCCAUUCAUCUGUCAAUGGACAUUUAGGUUGUUUCCAUGUCUUGGAUAUUGUGAAUAGUGCUGCUAUUGGAGUACAUGUAUCUUUUUGAAUUAUAGCUUUCUUUGGAUAUAUGCCCUGGAGUGGUAUUGCUGGAUCAUUUGGUAACUCUGUUUUUAUUAUUUAUUUAUUUAUUUAGUUUUGUCUUUUAGGGCCACACUUGUGGCAUCUGGAAGUUCCUAGGCUAGGGGUCAAAUUGGAGCUGCAGUUUCUGGCCUAUGCCACAGCCACAGCAAUGCCAGAUCUAAGCUGCAUCUGUGAUCUAUACCACAGCUCACAGCAAUGCCAGAUCCUUAACUCACUGAACGAGGCCAGGGACCGAACCCAAGUCCUCAUGGAUAGUACUCAGGUUUGUUACUACUGAGCCACAACCAGAACUCCUAUUUUUAAAGGAACCUCCAUACUAUUUUCCAUACCAAAAAAAAUAUGAGUACACAAUUACUCUUUUCAGGGCCAUUCUGUUUAUGAGACGGUGUUUUUUUUUUUUAUAUAUAAUGAUUUUUAUUUUUUCCAUUAUGGCUGAUUUACAGUGUUCUGUCAAUUUUCUACUGUACAGCAAGGUGACCCAGUCACAUAUACAUGUAUACAUUCUUUUUUCUCACAUUAUCAUGCUCCAUCAUAAGUAAUGAGAUAUAGUUCCCAGUGCUAUACAGCAGGAUCUCAUUGCUUAUCCAUUCCAAAGGCAAUAGUCUGCAUCUAUUAACCCCAAAUUCCCAGUCCAUCCCCUCCCUCACCCUCCACCUUGACAACCACAAGUAUGUUCUCCAUGUCCAUGAUUUUCUUUUCUGUGGAAAGUUUCAUUUGUGCCAUAUAUUAGAUUCCAGAUAUAAAUGAUAUCAUAUGGUAUUUGUCUUUCUCUUCUGUAGUCCCAUCCAUGUUGCCACAAAUGGCAUUAUUUUGAUAUUUUUUAUGGCUGAGUAGUAUUCCGUUGUGUAUAUAUACUACAUUUUCUUAAUCCAGUCAUCUGUUGAUGGACAUUUAGGUUGUUUCUGUCUUGGCUAUUGUGAAUAGAUAGCGCUGCAAUGAACAUGUCUUUUUCUUUUGCCUUUUCUAGGGCAGCUUCCAGUGGCAUAUGGAGGCUCCCAGGCUAAGAGUCUAAUUGGACCUAUAGCCACUGGCCUAUGCCAGAGCCACAGCAGUGUGGGAUCCGAGCUGUGUCUGUGACCUACACCACAGCUCACAGCAAUGCCGGAUCUUUAACCCACUGAGCAAGGCCAGGGAUUGAACCCGCCACCUCAUGGUUCCUAGUUGGAGUCAUUAACCAAUGCCCCAUGACGGGAAACUCCCUGAACAUGUCUUUUUCAAGCAAAGUUUUGUCUGGAUAUAUGCCCAGGAGUGGGAUUGCUGGGUCAUAUGGUAGUUCUAUAUUUACUUUUCUAAGGUCCCUCCAUACUGUUCUUCAUAGUGGUUGUACCAUUUUAUAUUCCCACCAACAGUGUAGGAGGGUUCCCUUUUCUCCAUACCCUCUCUAGCAUUUGUUAUUUUGUGGACUUAUUAAUGAUGGCCAUUCUGACUGGUGUGAGGUGGUAUCUCAUGGUAGCUUUGAUUUGCAUUUUUCUAAUAAUGAUGUUGAGCAUUUUUUCAUGUGCUUGUUGGCCAUCUAUAUGUCUUUUUUGGAGAAAUGUCUAUUCAGGUCUUUUGCCCUUUUUUCAAUUGGGUGGUUGGCAUUUUUGCUGUUGAGACCAGUGUUUUUAAGUUUCACCUUGAGCAAAGAGGUGAAGAGAAUUUUCAGAGGAGGUUAAGGGCAUGAAGGUAUUGCUGAUGAUGGACCAAAAUGGAAGUGCCCUGGUAGGUGGAGAAAAGCAAUUACGGAGUCAGAUUAAGUCAAUGGCUUCCAUAUUUAUUUUAUUUUAUUUUAUUUUUAUUUAUUUAUUUAUUUAUCUUUUUGCCUUUUCUAG